UAGGAAGUGGUGUAGUGGAAGCACUGAGAAUUUUGAUUUCUCCGGGUAGGGUUCAAAUCCCUUCUUUCUAA
RNAcentral lists this transfer RNA (71 nucleotides) under Sillago asiatica (Asian whiting). Its description in RNAcentral is "tRNA-Gln". It matches the Rfam family "tRNA". Rfam says of the family: Transfer RNA (tRNA) molecules are approximately 80 nucleotides in length. Their secondary structure includes four short double-helical elements and three loops (D, anti-codon, and T loops). The record is from RNAcentral. Lineage: Eukaryota; Metazoa; Chordata; Actinopteri; Sillaginidae.